UACGUAGGUGGCAAGCGAUACUCGGAAUCACUAGGCGUAAAGCGCAGGUAGGCGGUUUGGUAAGUCUUUUGUGAAAGCUCCCGGCUUAACUGGGAGAGGUCAAGGGAAACGACCGGACUAGAGUGUGGUAGGGGAUACUGGAAUUCCUGGUGUAGCGGUGAAAUGCGUAGAUAUCAGGAGGAAUACCUAUGGCGAAAGCAGGUAUCUGGGCCAUCACUGACGCUGAGCUGCGAAAGCUAGGGGAGCAAACAGG
RNAcentral lists this ribosomal RNA (253 nucleotides) under uncultured bacterium. RNAcentral's name for it is "partial 16S ribosomal RNA". It matches the Rfam family "Bacterial small subunit ribosomal RNA", at positions 524 to 776 of the family's 1533-position model. The record is from RNAcentral.